UUACGGGAGGCAGCAGUGAGGAAUAUUGGUCAAUGGAGGCAACUCUGAACCAGCCAUGCCGCGUGCAGGAUGACGGUCCUAUGGAUUGUAAACUGCUUUUGUACAGGAAGAAACCCUACUUCGUGAAGUAGAUUGACGGUACUGUAAGAAUAAGGAUCGGCUAACUCCGUGCCAGCAGCCGCGGUAAUA
RNAcentral lists this ribosomal RNA (189 nucleotides) under uncultured Flavobacterium sp. Its description in RNAcentral is "partial 16S ribosomal RNA". It matches the Rfam family "Bacterial small subunit ribosomal RNA", at positions 339 to 525 of the family's 1533-position model. Lineage: Bacteria; Pseudomonadati; Bacteroidota; Flavobacteriia; Flavobacteriales; Flavobacteriaceae. The record is from RNAcentral.